CAAAAGACAGUCAGGCUUGAUCGGGACUCAAACACACGGGACUUACCUUGGCUACUUUAAGAACUCCUCACCAGCAUGUGGUGAAGCUCCAGAGUCUUUGCUGAGUAGCAGAGAAGUAACAGGGAAAGACACCAACCUGAAGGGACCACGGGGCAGGGACAAGGGGCAUCUUUUCCUAUCUGACAAGCCCACCAGCCAGGACGAGGCAGACUGAUGGAGGUCUCAGAGGAUGCCUCUGUAAUAGGUGACAAUGAGUUCCCGGACCUGGACCCAUCCCACCCUAUAAAUUAGACACAACCCUGGGGAAAAGGAGGUUGAUUCCUGAGUUAACCAAGACAAAGAUUCU
Molecule: long non-coding RNA, 346 nt
Filed under: Homo sapiens (human)
Lineage: Eukaryota; Metazoa; Chordata; Mammalia; Primates; Hominidae
Description: HSALNT0020275
Source: RNAcentral